AUGGCGUCGCCUUCCGCCUCUCCAGCCCACACACUUCACCUCAAAACGGCAAGGCCGAACGCCUUCUUCGCACCACUAACGAUGUCCUCCGCACUCUUCUCAUCCACGCACAUAUGCCGCCCGAGUAUUGGGUCGAGGCACUCCACACCGCCAACCAUCUUCUCAACCGGCGACCCUCAUCAGCCAUUAACCAGCACACACCCUACUACCUCCUCCACGGCGAACACCCCACGUACGACCAUCUUCGCGUUUUCGGAUGCCUUUGCUUUUCCCAACCUCACCCACCUCGCGCCACACAAACUAGCCCCCCGAUCCACUCCUUGCGUCCUACUCGGGUACCCCCUGGAGCACAAAGGCUACCGCUACCUCGAUCUACGCUCGCGCCGCGUUUAUAUUUCUCGCCACGUGUCAGGACCCCGACUCGAUGUCACAUCGAUCUAG
This 441-nucleotide ribosomal RNA is filed under the name Triticum aestivum (bread wheat). RNAcentral's name for it is "partial small subunit ribosomal RNA". The record is from RNAcentral. Lineage: Eukaryota; Viridiplantae; Streptophyta; Magnoliopsida; Poales; Poaceae.